CUACCAACCUAGAUAAUCGCCCCAUUGACCUUUGGGUUAGUGAGGGAGGAAAGUCCGCACUUCGUAAAUGGUACCAGUGAAAACUGGGUAGGCGUGAGCUUACGGUACAGAGCAACAGAGAGGAAACCGUCUCAUUUCGAUGGGAUAAGGAUGAAAGGGUGUGGUAAGAGCACACCGCCUUAUAAAGUAAUUUAUAGGGGCGAGGUAAUCCCUACCUGAAGCAAUCCCGCAAUAUGGGAGCAUAGAUAAAUGAUUAUCUUAAUUCUGCAAAGCAGAAGGAUACAGAAAGUGGCUUAUUGGUUGGUUUUUUG
Molecule: RNase P RNA, 311 nt
Filed under: Candidatus Dojkabacteria bacterium
Lineage: Bacteria
Description: RNase P RNA component class A
Rfam family: Bacterial RNase P class A
About the family: Ribonuclease P (RNase P) is a ubiquitous endoribonuclease, found in archaea, bacteria and eukarya as well as chloroplasts and mitochondria. Its best characterised activity is the generation of mature 5'-ends of tRNAs by cleaving the 5'-leader elements of precursor-tRNAs.
Source: RNAcentral